This 31-nucleotide non-coding RNA is filed under the name Mus musculus (house mouse). Lineage: Eukaryota; Metazoa; Chordata; Mammalia; Rodentia; Muridae. The record is from RNAcentral.
UGAAAAUGUCAAGUGUCAUGUUGAGGAGCCU